GGCAAACGGGUGAGUAACACAUUGGUAACUUACCCCGAAGACGUGAAUAACCCCGCGAAAGCGGGGCUAAUACACGAUAAAAAUGGGGGGACGAAAGUCAUUCCCAUUUAAAGUUCCGACGCUUCGGGAAAGGCCUAUGGCUUAUCAGCUAGUUGGUGAGGUAAUAGCUCACCAAGGCAAUGACGAGUAGCGGGUGUGAGAGCACGACCCGCCUCACUGGGACUGAGACACUGCCCAGACUCCUACGGGAGGCUGCAGUCAAGAAUAUUUCGCAAUGCCCGCAAGGUUGACGGAGCGACGCCGCGUGAUCGAUGAAGCCCUUCGGGGUGUAAAGAUCUUUUAUUGGGGACGAACUAAUGACGGUACCCAAAGAAUAAGAGGUUGCUAACUCUGUGCCAGCAGCAGCGGUAAUACAGAGACCUCGAGCGUUAUCCGGAUUUAUUGGGCGUAAAGAGUGCGCAGGCGGCUUUUCAAGUUGGUGGUUAAAACCCAAAGCUCAACUUUGGGCCAGCCACCAAAACUGACAAGCUAGAGAUUGCGAGAGGCAAGCGGAAUUGCCGGUGUAGGGGUAAAAUCCGUUGAUAUCGGCGAGAACACCAAAUGCAUAGGCAGCUUGCUAGAACAUUUCUGACGCUGUACACGAAAGCGUGGGAGCAAAGAGGAUUAGAUACCCUCGUAGUCCACGCUGUAACUUUGGACACUAGGCAUUGUAAGUAUCGACCCUUUCAGUGCCGUUCUAAAUAGCUAACGCGUAAGUGUCCCUGCCUGGGUAGUACCGACCGCAG
This 785-nucleotide ribosomal RNA is filed under the name uncultured bacterium. RNAcentral describes it as "bacterial SSU rRNA". It matches the Rfam family "Bacterial small subunit ribosomal RNA", at positions 97 to 891 of the family's 1533-position model. The record is from RNAcentral.